Sander lucioperca (pikeperch) is the source of this 987-nucleotide long non-coding RNA. RefSeq lists it as uncharacterized. The record is from RefSeq and is a predicted model, not a curated record. The transcript has 2 exons. Lineage: Eukaryota; Metazoa; Chordata; Actinopteri; Perciformes; Percidae.
AUGGCAGUAUAUCAGUCUUUUUCCCCCCCAAAGCCUCUGCAAAUUAUUUCACCGUCAAGCCUUUUUAUUUAACAGUUAAUGCUUCUACAGUCUUGUAUCAGCAACCUUAAUACUUAAGCAACUUUUUCAGAAUGAAACGGCGUGCUGUAACAACUACCAACAGAGUUUUAUUGGUUCGUUGAUAACAAUCAUUACACAGGUACAUCUAUAAACAAAUAAGGAACUGCACACUUGUACUUGAUACAGAGAUCUAAAACCCCACAUGAAUAUUGCUACUGCUGGUAUGCAUUUGACAUCUCAAAUAAAUGUACAGUUUGUUGGUUGGCCUUUAAGAAGCCAGUCUCAACAGGUUUCUUUUUUAUGAUUACACACCCCUUUAGCUUGGCUACGAAAACAAAUUCCAUUUUGACCAUCCUUACAAUGUACCACUACACACUGCAUAUAGAAAGAUUGAAAACCCUUUUCACAGCAGCUUUACAAAGUUAUUGCAAUGCUAUCACAGAACAGAGACACAACCAAACUAGCGACGCACAGCUCCAAUAAGGAGAGCUCCAGUAAUAGGGAUUUUAGCUUUAUUGAUCAGAUUCAUUAAGAAAAACGGCAUGAGUACAAGAGUUAACAUAUAGGAACAAAGCUUACAAACAUUCUAAAACACUGUUCUUCAUUAUAAACAAUAAAACAAUGAGUUGCCCUGUGACUUUGUCCAUCCCCACCCCGGCACAGAUUACAUACACUGUCCCUUAUAAAGCAUAUGGAAUGUAGUCCACGCAGACAAGCUCUUCCGGUUGUUGCCCCAGCUCCUGUGAACGAUGUGCUUGCGCGUCGACACGGUAACCUGUCCCGCACCCUCCCCUCCUUCACAUUUAAAACUGAAAUGAAAUCCACCGACAGUAACAACAAUGACCGCAACUUUUAUGGCGAUGCAAAAUUGUGGGAUGUGACGAAAUUCCCGACUCCAAAAUGACUUCUUUUUUGUUUUUUUUCAUU